GGUACUAGUGCAGUGUAGAACCCUUUUCUCAGGCAAAACCUAACAUCUGACCGCACCCUUUUUGCUAUUAAAAAAAAAAAAAAGCUUCUAUUUUUUUCCUCCUGUCGUUAAGAUAAAUUCUCCAGUAGACAACCUCUCCCACUAAUUGUGUAUUAGCAACGUAUUUUAUCUUGAGAGCUUGUACACUGGGCUCUCAACGUGGUGUGGAAGGUAGCCUGUUACAGUGCUGGAUUCAUAAAAGGGCCUUUAUGGUUUGUGAAAGAAUAUCUGUGUGCUUAGGGAGGAAACUUUUUGAUCUGCAGAAAAGCCAGAAGACAUCUAGGAUUGGUCCCUGGUGCCUUAUUUAGUUCACCUGGUGACAUCAUGUUUUCCUGGAUGGUACUGAAGCUAGUAGAUGUUCUUCAGUGCCUGGGCGUUGAAGAGUCAGGACAUCCAUAAAAAUUCAUCAGAGAGCAUUUUACUACUGAGCUGCAAAGGGAAAAACUUAAAAUGGAUAUGAAAAGUGAAGAAAGUGAUCAUAGGAGAAAACCAUUUCAGAUGACAAGAGCACCUCAAAGGCAGCAGCCUCAAGGAGCAGCCAUGGCCCCAGACUUGUCGCACGGAUGCAGAAAACUUAAUGGAGGAGGCUGAGGUCAGAAUGGGAAGAGUUUUUAAAAAAUAAAAAGGGGAGCUAA
This is a long non-coding RNA of Homo sapiens (human), 674 nucleotides long. Ensembl annotates it as mir-99a-let-7c cluster host gene. Its record names the gene MIR99AHG. Lineage: Eukaryota; Metazoa; Chordata; Mammalia; Primates; Hominidae. The record is from Ensembl.